This 489-nucleotide ribosomal RNA is filed under the name uncultured bacterium. RNAcentral's name for it is "partial 16S ribosomal RNA". It matches the Rfam family "Bacterial small subunit ribosomal RNA", at positions 30 to 507 of the family's 1533-position model. The record is from RNAcentral.
AUUGAACGCUGGCGGCAUGCCUUACACAUGCAGUCGAACGGCAGCAUGAUCUAGCUUGCUAGAUUGAUGGCGCGUGGCGAACGGGUGAGUAAUACAUCGGAACGUGCCCUGUAGUGGGGGAUAACUAGUCGAAAGAUUAGCUAAUACCGCAUACGACCUGAGGGUGAAAGUGGGGGACCGCAAGGCCUCAUGCUAUAGGAGCGGCCGAUGUCUGAUUAGCUAGUUGGUGAGGUAAAGGCUCACCAAGGCGACGAUCAGUAGCUGGUCUGAGAGGACGAUCAGCCACACUGGGACUGAGACACGGCCCAGACUCCUACGGGAGGCAGCAGUGGGGAAUUUUGGACAAUGGGCGAAAGCCUGAUCCAGCAAUGCCGCGUGUGUGAAGAAGGCCUUCGGGUUGUAAAGCACUUUUGUCCGGAAAGAAAUGGCUCUGGUUAAUACCUGGGGUCGAUGACGGUACCGGAAGAAUAAGGACCGGCUAACUACGUG